Molecule: transfer RNA, 71 nt
Filed under: Ilyoplax delsmani
Lineage: Eukaryota; Metazoa; Arthropoda; Malacostraca; Decapoda; Dotillidae
Description: tRNA-Val
Source: RNAcentral
CAAAGUAUAGCUAAAAAGAAGGCAUUUCAGUUACGUUGAAAAGGAUUAUCGUGCGAAUCGGUUUGCUUUGA